This 971-nucleotide ribosomal RNA is filed under the name Candidatus Fermentibacter danicus. RNAcentral describes it as "bacterial SSU rRNA". It matches the Rfam family "Bacterial small subunit ribosomal RNA", at positions 8 to 949 of the family's 1533-position model. Lineage: Bacteria; Pseudomonadati; Candidatus Fermentibacterota; Candidatus Fermentibacteria; Candidatus Fermentibacterales; Candidatus Fermentibacteraceae. The record is from RNAcentral.
AGAGUUUGAUCCUGGCUCAGGACGAACGCUGGCGGCGUGGAUAAGGCAUGCAAGUCGAACGGGAUGGGGAUUCAAGCAAUUGUGUCCCUUGAGAGUGGCGAACGGGUGAGUAACACGUGGGUAACAUACCUCCGGGUGGGGGAUAACUCAGGGAAACCUGGGCUAAUACCGCAUACGGUCAGACUGCCCAUGGCAGAUUGAUCAAAGGUGGGGACCUUCGGGCCUGCCGCCUGGAGAUUGGCCCGCGUCCCAUUAGCUUGUUGGCGGGGUAAAGGCCCACCAAGGCGACGAUGGGUAGCCGGCCUGAGAGGGUGUCCGGCCACACUGGGAUUGAGAUACGGCCCAGACUCCUUCGGGAGGCAGCAGUCGAGAAUCUUCCCCAAUGGGCGAAAGCCUGAGGGAGCGACGCCGCGUGAGGGAUGAAGGCCCUUUGGGUUGUAAACCUCUGUUAGGGGGAAAGAAAAGCAGUGGAAGCAAUAUGUCCAUUGCCUGACGUUACCCCCAGAGAAAGCUCCGGCCAACUCCGUGCCAGCAGCCGCGGUAAUACGGGGGGAGCAAGCGUUGUCCGGAAUCAUUGGGCGUAAAGGGCGUGUAGGCGGCUUGGCAAGUCGAAUGUGAAAUCCCACGGCUCAACCGUGGAACUGCGUUCGAAACUGCCUUGCUUGAGUGCGGGAGAGGUGUGCGGAAUUCCUGGUGUAGCGGUGGAAUGCGUAGAUAUCAGGAAGAACACCGGUGGCGAAGGCGGCACACUGGCCCAGCACUGACGCUGAGGCGCGAAAGCGUGGGGAGCGAACGGGAUUAGAUACCCCGGUAGUCCACGCUGUAAACUUUGGGCACUAGGUAUUGGAGGUCUCAACCCCUUCAGUGCCGUAGCUAACGCGUUAAGUGCCCCGCCUGGGGAGUACGGUCGCAAGGCUGAAACUCAAAGGAAUUGACGGGGGCCCGCACAAGCGGUGGAGCAUGUGGUUUAA